CAGCUCAGUUGGUAAAGCAUGAGACUCUUAAUCUCAGUGGUAUGGGUUCAAGCCCCAAGGA
Molecule: transfer RNA, 61 nt
Filed under: Podarcis lilfordi (Lilford's wall lizard)
Lineage: Eukaryota; Metazoa; Chordata; Lepidosauria; Squamata; Lacertidae
Description: tRNA.Lys
Rfam family: tRNA
About the family: Transfer RNA (tRNA) molecules are approximately 80 nucleotides in length. Their secondary structure includes four short double-helical elements and three loops (D, anti-codon, and T loops).
Source: RNAcentral